AUUGAACGCUGGCGGCAGGCCUAACACAUGCAAGUCGAGCGGUAGCACAGAGAGCUUGCUCUCGGGUGACGAGCGGCGGACGGGUGAGUAAUGUCUGGGAAACUGCCUGAUGGAGGGGGAUAACUACUGGAAACGGUAGCUAAUACCGCAUAACGUCGCAAGACCAAAGUGGGGGACCUUCGGGCCUCAUGCCAUCAGAUGUGCCCAGAUGGGAUUAGCUGGUAGGUGGGGUAACGGCUCACCUAGGCGACGAUCCCUAGCUGGUCUGAGAGGAUGACCAGCCACACUGGAACUGAGACACGGUCCAGACUCCUACGGGAGGCAGCAGUGGGGAAUAUUGCACAAUGGGCGCAAGCCUGAUGCAGCCAUGCCGCGUGUGUGAAGAAGGCCUUCGGGUUGUAAAGCACUUUCAGCGGGGAGGAAGGCGGUGAGGUUAAUAACCUCACCGAUUGACGUUACCCGCAGAAGAAGCACCGGCUAACUCCGUGCCAGCAGCCGCGGUAAUACGGAGGGUGCAAGCGUUAAUCGGAAUUACUGGGCGUAAAGCGCACGCAGGCGGUCUGUCAAGUCGGAUGUGAAAUCCCCGGGCUCAACCUGGGAACUGCAUUCGAAACUGGCAGGCUAGAGUCUUGUAGAGGGGGGUAGAAUUCCAGGUGUAGCGGUGAAAUGCGUAGAGAUCUGGAGGAAUACCGGUGGCGAAGGCGGCCCCCUGGACAAAGACUGACGCUCAGGUGCGAAAGCGUGGGGAGCAAACAGGAUUAGAUACCCUGGUAGUCCACGCUGUAAACGAUGUCGAUUUGGAGGUUGUGCCCUUGAGGCGUGGCUUCCGGAGCUAACGCGUUAAAUCGACCGCCUGGGGAGUACGGCCGCAAGGUUAAAACUCAAAUGAAUUGACGGGGGCCCGCACAAGCGGUGGAGCAUGUGGUUUAAUUCGAUGCAACGCGAAGAACCUUACCUGGUCUUGACAUCCACAGAACUUUCCAGAGAUGGAUUGGUGCCUUCGGGAACUGUGAGACAGGUGCUGCAUGGCUGUCGUCAGCUCGUGUUGUGAAAUGUUGGGUUAAGUCCCGCAACGAGCGCAACCCUUAUCCUUUGUUGCCAGCGGUUAGGCCGGGAACUCAAAGGAGACUGCCAGUGAUAAACUGGAGGAAGGUGGGGAUGACGUCAAGUCAUCAUGGCCCUUACGACCAGGGCUACACACGUGCUACAAUGGCAUAUACAAAGAGAAGCGACCUCGCGAGAGCAAGCGGACCUCAUAAAGUAUGUCGUAGUCCGGAUUGGAGUCUGCAACUCGACUCCAUGAAGUCGGAAUCGCUAGUAAUCGUAGAUCAGAAUGCUACGGUGAAUACGUUCCCGGGCCUUGUACACACCGCCCGUCACACCAUGGGAGUGGGUUGCAAAAGAAGUAGGUAGCUUAACCUUCGGGAGGGCGCUUACCACUUUGUGAUUCAUGACUGGGGUG
RNAcentral lists this ribosomal RNA (1462 nucleotides) under uncultured bacterium. RNAcentral describes it as "bacterial SSU rRNA". It matches the Rfam family "Bacterial small subunit ribosomal RNA". The record is from RNAcentral.